RNAcentral lists this unclassified non-coding RNA (165 nucleotides) under uncultured Ascomycota. RNAcentral's name for it is "sequence contains ITS1". Lineage: Eukaryota; Fungi; Ascomycota. The record is from RNAcentral.
CCGUAACGCGGCGGUCCGGCAACCGCAAGGAAGUCAGCCGCCACACGCGUUUAUCACCCUUGACUUUGAGCACCUUUCGUUUCCUCGGCGGGUUCGCCCGCCAGCGAGGACCCCCCACAAACCCUUUGUAAUAGCAAUAUUCGUCUGAAAACAAACCAAUAAUCA